RNAcentral lists this ribosomal RNA (707 nucleotides) under uncultured cyanobacterium. Its description in RNAcentral is "bacterial SSU rRNA". It matches the Rfam family "Bacterial small subunit ribosomal RNA", at positions 66 to 818 of the family's 1533-position model. Lineage: Bacteria; Bacillati; Cyanobacteriota. The record is from RNAcentral.
ACGGGCUCUUCGGAGCUAGUGGCGGACGGGUGAGUAACGCGUGAGGAUCUGCCUACAGGACCGGGACAACAGCUGGAAACGGCUGCUAAAACCGGAUGUGCCGAGAGGUGAAAUAUUUAUAGCCUGUAGAUGAGCUCGCGUCUGAUUAGCUAGUUGGUGAGGUAAGGGCUCACCAAGGCGACGAUCAGUAGCUGGUCUGAGAGGACGAUCAGCCACACUGGGACUGAGACACGGCCCAGACUCCUACGGGAGGCAGCAGUGGGGAAUUUUCCGCAAUGGGCGAAAGCCUGACGGAGCAAUACCGCGUGAGGGAGGAAGGUCUGUGGAUUGUAAACCUCUUUUGAUAGGGAAGAAGUUCUGACGGUACCUAUCGAAUCAGCAUCGGCUAACUCCGUGCCAGCAGCCGCGGUAAUACGGAGGAUGCAAGCGUUAUCCGGAUUUAUUGGGCGUAAAGCGUCCGUAGGUGGUCAUUCAAGUCUAUUGUCAAAGCCUGGGGCUUAACCCUGGAGAGGCGGUGGAAACUGAAUAACUAGAGUGCGGUAGGGGCAGAGGGAAUUCCCAGUGUAGCGGUGAAAUGCGUAGAUAUUGGGAAGAACACCGGUGGCGAAAGCGCUCUGCUGGGCCUGCACUGACACUGAGGGACGAAAGCUAGGGGAGCGAAAGGGAUUAGAUACCCCUGUAGUCCUAGCUGUAAACGAUGGAUACUA